RNAcentral lists this ribosomal RNA (267 nucleotides) under Palpitomonas bilix. RNAcentral's name for it is "partial Bacterial large subunit ribosomal RNA". It matches the Rfam family "Bacterial large subunit ribosomal RNA", at positions 2194 to 2472 of the family's 2925-position model. The record is from RNAcentral.
GAAAGACCACUCUAGUUAUUUUGUAAAACUAAAUUAAAUUUUUAAUGAUAAUCUAAGAUGGUUAGUUUGACUGGGGCGGUAGUCUCCAAAAAAGUAACGGAGACCUACAAAGGUAGGCUCAAAUUUAGAUAAUAAAUUUUCGAACGCAAUGGUAUAUGCCUGCUUGACUGUGAGACAUACAAGUCGAACAGAGACGAAAGUCGGUCAUAGUGAUCCUAUGAUUUUGAAUGGAAAAGUCAUAGCUUAAGGAAUAAAAGGUACUUUGGG